UGGGGAAUAUUGCACAAAGGGCGCAAGCCUGAUGCAGCCAUGCCGCGUGUAUGAAGAAGGCCUUCGGGUUGUAAAGUACUUUCAGCGGGGAGGAAGGUGUUGUGGUUAAUAACCACAGCAAUUGACGUUACCCGCAGAAGAAGCACCGGCUAACUCCGUGCUAGCAGCCGCGGUAAUACGGAGGGUGCAAGCGUUAAUCGGAAUUACUGGGCGUAAAGCGCACGCAGGCGGUCUGUCAAGUCGGAUGUGAAAUCCCCGGGCUCAACCUGGGAACUGCAUCCGAAACUGGCAGGCUUGAGUCUUGUAGAGGGGGGUAGAAUUCCAGGUGUAGCGGUGAAAUGCGUAGAGAUCUGGAGGAAUACCGGUGGCGAAGGCGGCCCCCUGGACAAAGACUGACGCUCAGGUGCGAAAGCGUGGGGAGCAAACA
This 427-nucleotide ribosomal RNA is filed under the name uncultured bacterium. RNAcentral's name for it is "partial 16S ribosomal RNA". It matches the Rfam family "Bacterial small subunit ribosomal RNA", at positions 355 to 774 of the family's 1533-position model. The record is from RNAcentral.